This 2889-nucleotide ribosomal RNA is filed under the name Pseudomonas aeruginosa. RNAcentral describes it as "bacterial LSU rRNA". It matches the Rfam family "Bacterial large subunit ribosomal RNA". RNAcentral also lists the same sequence under 2 other names. The record is from RNAcentral. Lineage: Bacteria; Pseudomonadati; Pseudomonadota; Gammaproteobacteria; Pseudomonadales; Pseudomonadaceae.
UCAAGUGAAGAAGCGCAUACGGUGGAUGCCUUGGCAGUCAGAGGCGAUGAAAGACGUGGUAGCCUGCGAUAAGCUUCGGGGAGUCGGCAAACAGACUUUGAUCCGGAGAUCUCUGAAUGGGGGAACCCACCUAGGAUAACCUAGGUAUCUUGUACUGAAUCCAUAGGUGCAAGAGGCGAACCAGGGGAACUGAAACAUCUAAGUACCCUGAGGAAAAGAAAUCAACCGAGAUUCCCUUAGUAGUGGCGAGCGAACGGGGAUUAGCCCUUAAGCUUCAUUGAUUUUAGCGGAACGCUCUGGAAAGUGCGGCCAUAGUGGGUGAUAGCCCCGUACGCGAAAGGAUCUUUGAAGUGAAAUCGAGUAGGACGGAGCACGAGAAACUUUGUCUGAACAUGGGGGGACCAUCCUCCAAGGCUAAAUACUACUGACUGACCGAUAGUGAACCAGUACCGUGAGGGAAAGGCGAAAAGAACCCCGGAGAGGGGAGUGAAAUAGAACCUGAAACCGUAUGCGUACAAGCAGUGGGAGCCUACUUGUUAGGUGACUGCGUACCUUUUGUAUAAUGGGUCAGCGACUUAUAUUCAGUGGCGAGCUUAACCGAAUAGGGUAGGCGUAGCGAAAGCGAGUCUUAAUAGGGCGUUUAGUCGCUGGGUAUAGACCCGAAACCGGGCGAUCUAUCCAUGAGCAGGUUGAAGGUUAGGUAACACUGACUGGAGGACCGAACCCACUCCCGUUGAAAAGGUAGGGGAUGACUUGUGGAUCGGAGUGAAAGGCUAAUCAAGCUCGGAGAUAGCUGGUUCUCCUCGAAAGCUAUUUAGGUAGCGCCUCAUGUAUCACUCUGGGGGGUAGAGCACUGUUUCGGCUAGGGGGUCAUCCCGACUUACCAAACCGAUGCAAACUCCGAAUACCCAGAAGUGCCGAGCAUGGGAGACACACGGCGGGUGCUAACGUCCGUCGUGAAAAGGGAAACAACCCAGACCGCCAGCUAAGGUCCCAAAGUUGUGGUUAAGUGGUAAACGAUGUGGGAAGGCUUAGACAGCUAGGAGGUUGGCUUAGAAGCAGCCAUCCUUUAAAGAAAGCGUAAUAGCUCACUAGUCGAGUCGGCCUGCGCGGAAGAUGUAACGGGGCUCAAACCACACACCGAAGCUGCGGGUGUCACGUAAGUGACGCGGUAGAGGAGCGUUCUGUAAGCCUGUGAAGGUGAGUUGAGAAGCUUGCUGGAGGUAUCAGAAGUGCGAAUGCUGACAUGAGUAACGACAAUGGGUGUGAAAAACACCCACGCCGAAAGACCAAGGGUUCCUGCGCAACGUUAAUCGACGCAGGGUUAGUCGGUUCCUAAGGCGAGGCUGAAAAGCGUAGUCGAUGGGAAACAGGUUAAUAUUCCUGUACUUCUGGUUACUGCGAUGGAGGGACGGAGAAGGCUAGGCCAGCUUGGCGUUGGUUGUCCAAGUUUAAGGUGGUAGGCUGAAAUCUUAGGUAAAUCCGGGGUUUCAAGGCCGAGAGCUGAUGACGAGUCGUCUUUUAGAUGACGAAGUGGUUGAUGCCAUGCUUCCAAGAAAAGCUUCUAAGCUUCAGGUAACCAGGAACCGUACCCCAAACCGACACAGGUGGUCGGGUAGAGAAUACCAAGGCGCUUGAGAGAACUCGGGUGAAGGAACUAGGCAAAAUGGCACCGUAACUUCGGGAGAAGGUGCGCCGGCUAGGGUGAAGGAUUUACUCCGUAAGCUCUGGCUGGUCGAAGAUACCAGGCCGCUGCGACUGUUUAUUAAAAACACAGCACUCUGCAAACACGAAAGUGGACGUAUAGGGUGUGACGCCUGCCCGGUGCCGGAAGGUUAAUUGAUGGGGUUAGCGCAAGCGAAGCUCUUGAUCGAAGCCCCGGUAAACGGCGGCCGUAACUAUAACGGUCCUAAGGUAGCGAAAUUCCUUGUCGGGUAAGUUCCGACCUGCACGAAUGGCGUAACGAUGGCGGCGCUGUCUCCACCCGAGACUCAGUGAAAUUGAAAUCGCUGUGAAGAUGCAGUGUAUCCGCGGCUAGACGGAAAGACCCCGUGAACCUUUACUGUAGCUUUGCACUGGACUUUGAGCCUGCUUGUGUAGGAUAGGUGGGAGGCUUUGAAGCGUGGACGCCAGUUCGCGUGGAGCCAUCCUUGAAAUACCACCCUGGCAUGCUUGAGGUUCUAACUCUGGUCCGUGAUCCGGAUCGAGGACAGUGUAUGGUGGGCAGUUUGACUGGGGCGGUCUCCUCCUAAAGAGUAACGGAGGAGUACGAAGGUGCGCUCAGACCGGUCGGAAAUCGGUCGCAGAGUAUAAAGGCAAAAGCGCGCUUGACUGCGAGACAGACACGUCGAGCAGGUACGAAAGUAGGUCUUAGUGAUCCGGUGGUUCUGUAUGGAAGGGCCAUCGCUCAACGGAUAAAAGGUACUCCGGGGAUAACAGGCUGAUACCGCCCAAGAGUUCAUAUCGACGGCGGUGUUUGGCACCUCGAUGUCGGCUCAUCACAUCCUGGGGCUGAAGCCGGUCCCAAGGGUAUGGCUGUUCGCCAUUUAAAGUGGUACGCGAGCUGGGUUUAGAACGUCGUGAGACAGUUCGGUCCCUAUCUGCCGUGGACGUUUGAGAUUUGAGAGGGGCUGCUCCUAGUACGAGAGGACCGGAGUGGACGAACCUCUGGUGUUCCGGUUGUCACGCCAGUGGCAUUGCCGGGUAGCUAUGUUCGGAAAAGAUAACCGCUGAAAGCAUCUAAGCGGGAAACUUGCCUCAAGAUGAGAUCUCACUGGGAACUUGAUUCCCCUGAAGGGCCGUCGAAGACUACGACGUUGAUAGGCUGGGUGUGUAAGCGUUGUGAGGCGUUGAGCUAACCAGUACUAAUUGCCCGUGAGGCUUGACCAU